RNAcentral lists this unclassified non-coding RNA (461 nucleotides) under plant metagenome. Its description in RNAcentral is "partial contains 5.8S ribosomal RNA, internal transcribed spacer 2, and large subunit ribosomal RNA". The stretch from base 1 to 105 matches the Rfam family "5.8S ribosomal RNA", at positions 50 to 154 of the family's 154-position model. The record is from RNAcentral.
AAACUGCGAUAAUUAAUGUGAAUUGCAGAAUUCUGUGAAUCAUCAAGACCUUGAACGCAAACUGCGCCUACGGGUCCACCUGUAGGCACGCUUGUUUGAGUGUCGAUUCAUUCACUAUCCCUUUAUUAUUCCUAUUUUUUUUUUAAGUGGGUAAUAAUAAAGGGGAAUUGGAGGUGUGGUUUUUCCUCUUUUUUUUUUAAAAAAAAGAGGGGGGGACCACUCCUUUUAAGUUCAUCUUCGGACUUUGCUUUUCAAAAAAACGAAUCAGUUUCAGCAAAGAGGUCCAGCCAGUAGGUACCAAUACGUUGGUUUAUCGAAAACUCACAUCUCUCUUGUCUAAAUUUGACAUUCGUUUUUGAAGCAAUAUAAAUCAAGUUCGAAUAAAAGGAAAGAAUCAAAACAACCGAUCAUUUCUCAACAAUUCGACCUCAAAUCAAGUGGGAUUACCCGCUGAAUUUAAG